RNAcentral lists this long non-coding RNA (255 nucleotides) under Brassica napus (rape). RNAcentral describes it as "long non-coding RNA (BNAP_LNC023095)". The record is from RNAcentral. Lineage: Eukaryota; Viridiplantae; Streptophyta; Magnoliopsida; Brassicales; Brassicaceae.
UUUUUUACUUAUCUUGUAAUCUCCUAUAUAAAGGGAACACUUAUUCAUUAAUAAAAUACAGAAACAUUCAGCUCUAAAUCUAUCGUUUCACAACGAAUCCAUCCAAAUGAUCUCAAACUGAAUACGCAAUCCAAAAUUAAUUUAGCGUUUAAUGUGACGGUGUGAAUAAACGCAAAAAUUUGACGAACUCGAAACCAAUAAAUGCAAAAAGUUCACGAACUCAAAGCCACAUGUAUGGUCUUUGAAGCUCACCCC